GGAAAAUGUGAGGUUGGCGUCACUUAGGGGAGGGAAUGAGUUAUAAGAAAAGAACAACUUGAUAGGGGAAAGCAGUGCAGGAAGCCUCAGCCCUCGGCCCUCAGCCCUCGGAAAGGGCGUCUGAAGAGUGCGGGAACGUCAAGAAUGAUGGGGAUUUCCGGGCAGAAUGCAGAGCAGAAGAGCCACAUGGAGCAUCAAAAAAUGAGAGGAGAGUGACCCAAAGGCAGGUCCCCAGGACGGCUUCGAGGCCUCAGAGAAGAGAUGCUGCAGAUGGUCCUUAGACGGUCUCACAGAAGGACAGAGAAGGGGCAGAAAGAGGUCGGUCCUGUGACCGUGUGACCAGGAGCGGGCCCUGCAGCAAGGGUUCUGGGCUCGGAAGGGGCCAGACAACAUGGCCCUGAACAACCCUCCCCCGUCCCGGAGACCUCAGGGGCAACCUUCAUGCCUGAGCACUAAGGUCUUGGAGCUUGCUCGGAGACCUGGCCUGGCUGGGAAGAAGUUGGCUGCUCAGUUAUAUUUAGGCUAGCAGAGACAUCAAUCUCAGGCUCUUUAAAAAUAAAGUCCUGUUUCAGCUGGAUCCCCAAGCCUGUCCCCACUUACUGCUAACAAGCUCGUUCGCCUCCUCCGGGUCCCCAGUCUUAGUUACAGACCCUUCACGUGGCCCCCACAUGUGCGAAUGUGUGUUAGGAUGUCAGCGAACGGUUGCCCUCUCUGGCCCGGUUCAAAGCAGGGUUUCUCUCCUGUUUCAGGCCACCCUCCUCAGGGGCUUUUCUCUCCUUUCUGUCCCGGGGACCUUGUGAUCUUCUUCAAGGCCUCUUCCCUCCCAAACUAGCCAGAGGUAAACCUUGUUAAUGGAGGCGAUACAGCCUCCUCUAGAGUUUCUGGGUCCUGCACUGCCCUUUCCCCUCAAGGCUGCCUUCAUGGCUUCAGGAAGAAGGAAACAGAAGACAGAGACCAAAGACUGAAGCAGAAAGCGGACUGGCCAUUGUGCUAGAAAGUGUGAUGGGGGCCUUUGAAUGAAUGCUCCUAGUGCACAGCCUGUGCAUGAGCAUGUGCAUGCAUGUGUGCAAGUGUGUGAUUGUGCAUGCGUGUGUGAAUGUAUGCGAACGCAUGCAUGUGUAUGCAUGUGUGUUUGCGUCUGUGUGUGCACGUGUGUGUGUACAGCACACUGAGGGGAUAUGAGAAGCAGCACCUGGGCACGCUGGGGCCGACCCCUCGGACUCCUUGACUUGGCUCCCGCAGCCCUGGUUCCUUUCCAUCCUCACUGAUGAAACACUUCUUUAUGUCUUAUUCACAUCCUGUCCUGACUACCACAAUUGUCUCCUUGCCGGGCCCACAUGUCUCUCAUCACCAAUGGGAUCCAAAUGUUGCUGACAAAAUAAUAUCGCUGCCUUUGUGCUGCAAUCACAUUCCUCCACUUUUUCAAAUUCUUCUCUGUCUCCCAUUACUAGGGGAAUCACACACACAGACCACCAUCUCUCUCUGCUUCUUCACAGCCCCCUCCCCAGCCCCACUCCAUCUCUCUCUGCCUUUCCUACCGGCUGGGCUCGUUCUCAGCCUCUUGCUGUUCUUAAGAUGGCAGCUCUUUGGGGCCUGCCCAGCAUUCCUGGCACAACCUCCUAGUACUAUUUAUUCCAUCAGCAAAUGUUUAUUAAGAGUGACAGGCACUCUUCUAGGCACUGGAGUGCAGCAAGAAACAAAACUGAGGACAGCAGUCAACAAAGAAAAAUACAACAGCGUGUCAAGAAUUGUGAGGACUGUGAAGAAAAAGAAAGCAGCGAGAAGGGCCGGUAGGCGACUCUCACACAGAGAGGGGCCGAAGGGAGGCCUGGAGCUGCUCCCCACCUUCCCAACAUCAGGGCUCAGGGCCUGCAUCUCUAACAUCCUUCUGCUCUGCCAGAGGCCUCCCCUCCAUCCUUCGCUUGGUUUGUACCAUGUUUACCCUGAUCUUAAGAGUGGGGAGGCACCAGGCACGACUGUGAUGCAACAGGAGACCUGCCGCUAUGAACUCGAGGACUCCCUAUGGCAGAAGGAACCAGGCGCACGCCCUCAAAUCACUAAGCACAGACCCAGUCCUCUUCCAUCUCCCCAUCCAGAACACAGAUGCUCAUCUAAAUACAGUGUCUGAAUGACCACUGAGAGCUCGGCCAGAGUGUCCUGUCAACGUCCGAAUUGUGUCUCCCUGUCCUGGAAUCAGGGACCCAAAUCUGGUUCUGUCGACUCCAGCCAGGCCUCCCCCUCUUCAGGCAAAGUGCAGGGCAGCCCACUGCGUGGAUGCUCGAUGCCCAUCAGCGCUGUCUUCACUUGUAAACAGCCGACGGGAAGAGCAUCAGAGAUAGAAGUUCCAAUGAACAAGUUUAUUAGCAAGUGAAAUAACUAACAUUGAAUUAGCAGCAAUAAAAACUGCUACCACUCUGAAAACAAAUUGUUGUCUCUGUGGGUGUUUUCCUUCCUGGGAGGGGAAAGGCUCGGAGGGAUAGGACGAUGAAGUCUGGUCUCUGUCUAGAUGGGAACAAAGCUGUGGACUGCUCAUCUUUUCACAGAGGCUUGCUGGUAGCCAGCUCACGAGUGACGGCCACGCUGCCCAUAAUAAUCGUCUGUGUCCCCGGUGUCUUAGUGUGGUCCAGCUAGACCCUCCCUGCCCAAUACAGCAGCCCGCAGCCACAGCAGACUGCACAGCGCUAGGAAUGUGGCUAGUCUGAACCGACGUGUUCUCCGAGCAUAAAACACAUACCGGACUUUGAAGACUGAGCACAAAAAAGUGAAUGUAAC
Molecule: long non-coding RNA, 2772 nt
Organism: Equus caballus (horse)
Lineage: Eukaryota; Metazoa; Chordata; Mammalia; Perissodactyla; Equidae
Source: Ensembl